RNAcentral lists this ribosomal RNA (706 nucleotides) under uncultured Clostridium sp. RNAcentral's name for it is "bacterial SSU rRNA". It matches the Rfam family "Bacterial small subunit ribosomal RNA", at positions 96 to 803 of the family's 1533-position model. The record is from RNAcentral. Lineage: Bacteria; Bacillati; Bacillota; Clostridia; Eubacteriales; Clostridiaceae.
CGGCGGACGGGUGAGUAACACGUGGGUAACCUGCCUCAAAGUGGGGGAUAGCCUUUCGAAAGGAAGAUUAAUACCGCAUAAUAUUGUACUUUCACAUGAAAGAACAAUUAAAGAAGUAAUUCGCUUUGAGAUGGACCCGCGGCGCAUUAGCUAGUUGGAGAGGUAACGGCUCACCAAGGCAACGAUGCGUAGCCGACCUGAGAGGGUAAUCGGCCACAUUGGAACUGAGACACGGUCCAGACUCCUACGGGAGGCAGCAGUGGGGGAAUAUUGCACAAUGGGCGAAAGCCUGAUGCAGCAACGCCGCGUGAGGUGAUGAAGGUCUUCGGAUUGUAAAGCUCUGUCUUUUGGGACGAUAAUGACGGUACCAAAGGAGGAAGCUACGGCUAACUACGUGCCAGCAGCCGCGGUAAUAACGUAGGUGGCAAGCGUUGUCCGGAAUUACUGGGCGUAAAGGAUGUGAAGGCGGAUGUUUAAGGUGAGAAUGUGAAAUCCCCGGGCUCAACUUUGGGGGCUGCAUUUCAAACUGGAUAUCUAGAGUGCAGGAAAGGAAAGCGGAAUUCCUAGUUGUAGCGGUGAAAUGCGUAAAGAUUUAGGAAGAACAUCAGUGGGCGAAGGCGGCUUUUCUGGACUGUAACUGACCCUGAGGCUUGAAAGCCGUGGGGGAGCAAACAGGAUUAAAUACCCCUGGGUAGUCCCCCCCCGU